AGAAUCUGGGUCCACCUCCCACCCGUGUUUAUUUUACCUUGUUGCUUCGGCGGGCCCGCCUUAACUGGCCGCCGGGGGGCUUACGCCCCCGGGCCCGCGCCCGCCGAAGACACCCUCGAACUCUGUCUGAAGAUUGUAGUCUGAGUGAAAAUAUAAAUUAUUUAAAACUUUCAACAACGGAUCUCUUGGUUCCGGCAUCGAUGAAGAACGCAGCGAAAUGCGAUACGUAAUGUGAAUUGCAAAUUCAGUGAAUCAUCGAGUCUUUGAACGCACAUUGCGCCCCCUGGUAUUCCGGGGGGCAUGCCUGUCCGAGCGUCAUUUCUGCCCUCAAGCACGGCUUGUGUGUUGGGCCCCGUCCUCCGAUCCCGGGGGACGGGCCCGAAAGGCAGCGGCGGCACCGCGUCCGGUCCUCGAGCGUAUGGGGCUUUGUCACCCGCUCUGUAGGCCCGGCCGGCGCUUGCCGAUCAACCCAAAUUUUUAUCCAGGUUGACCUCGGAUCAGGUAGGGAUACCCGCUGAACUUAAGCAUAUCAAUAAG
RNAcentral lists this ribosomal RNA (537 nucleotides) under Penicillium chrysogenum. RNAcentral describes it as "eukaryotic LSU rRNA". The stretch from base 166 to 318 matches the Rfam family "5.8S ribosomal RNA". Lineage: Eukaryota; Fungi; Ascomycota; Eurotiomycetes; Eurotiales; Aspergillaceae. The record is from RNAcentral.